GCUGGGCAUGGUGGCUCAUGCCUGUAAUCCCAGCACUUUUGGAGGCCGAGGCGGGUGGAUCACCUGAGGUCAGGAGUUCAAGACCAGCCUGGCCAACAUGGUGAAACCCCGUCUCUA
This is an unclassified non-coding RNA of Pongo abelii (Sumatran orangutan), 117 nucleotides long. It matches the Rfam family "Metazoan signal recognition particle RNA". Rfam says of the family: The signal recognition particle (SRP) is a universally conserved ribonucleoprotein. The record is from Ensembl. Lineage: Eukaryota; Metazoa; Chordata; Mammalia; Primates; Hominidae.